UGAGGAUUGGCCGAGCGGCUUAGGCAACGGACUUUGACUCCGUAGAGACUGGUUCGACUCCAGUAUCCUCUUCCA
This 75-nucleotide transfer RNA is filed under the name Pseudomonas phage M5.1. RNAcentral describes it as "tRNA-Gln". It matches the Rfam family "tRNA". Rfam says of the family: Transfer RNA (tRNA) molecules are approximately 80 nucleotides in length. Their secondary structure includes four short double-helical elements and three loops (D, anti-codon, and T loops). Lineage: Duplodnaviria; Heunggongvirae; Uroviricota; Caudoviricetes; Vandenendeviridae. The record is from RNAcentral.